This 7339-nucleotide long non-coding RNA is filed under the name Gossypium barbadense (sea-island cotton). Its description in RNAcentral is "long non-coding RNA (GBAR_LNC005914)". Lineage: Eukaryota; Viridiplantae; Streptophyta; Magnoliopsida; Malvales; Malvaceae. The record is from RNAcentral.
CUGUGGCAGCUGCUUCAGUACGUAGUGCCUUGGCUAUUACAGGAUUAAUCCUGGGAGUAUAAGAUAACGAUGAGUGGUUGGUGGUGUUAUUGUUGGUCAGGUUUUGCACUCAAAAGGUAGAUGGGGAGACAAUGGAAGACUGUGGUGGAAUAAAGCGAAGCAAAUGGAAGCGUUGAUUGUAGAACCCAAGUUUUAAGAGGCCCAUUCGGUUAACGUUUCCGAAUUUGACUUGUUUAGCUUACAUAAUCACAAUAUCUGUCGUCUUCAAAGAGGCGUAGAGAUAAUUAGAUGCCGGCUCUUUUAAGAAACUGACCCGAAAUUUUUUACUUAUUUAUGAAAAUGACUUGCAAAAAUUAAAAUUUUAAGGUGCCGCAGUCAAUUGUUGACUUAUUUACGUCCUCACUCUACAUAGCUGGCCUUAUUUCGUCUAUCUUGGCAUUGCCGGUGACCGGAGCCUUUGGCCGCAAGCCCUCCAUCUUUAUAGGAGGAGCUACAUUCCUGGCUGGUUCAGCACUUGGUGGUGCGGCUGUUAACGUCUACAUGUUGAUACUCGGUCGUGUCUUGCUAGGCGUUGGGGUUGGGGUUGGGGUUGGAUUUGCGAACCAGGAAUGCACAAUAGUUAUAUUUGCUGUUUAAUUAUGGUUUUAGUCCCUCCAUUAUGCUUAAAUUUUGUGAUUUAAUUUGGCAUAAUUUUGAGGAUGAAACUAGAAAUUUUGUAUUAGGAGGUUGAGAUAAAAUUAUAAGCUUUUGGAGAGGUCAAGAAUAUAGGGGAUUAAUGGGAAUUUCCUAAAAAAUAUCAGUCUAAUUAAAAUAUUAAAGAACUUUUUUUUUGAAAAAUUUAAAGGUUUUAAAUGAAAUUUUCAAACAUUUUAAAAGACUCAAUGACAAUUUUCCAAAUCUUUUACAAGGCCAAGACCUCCUUUGACUCGUUCAACCCCUGAGGCUUAUAAUACAAUUUCUUAAUUUAAAGCAAGGAGGCCAAAGCAUCUUCCCUUUUGGAUCCCUCUCUUCAUAUUUCGGUCCUCUACUUUUAUGGUAUUAUUAGUUUGUCUAAAUUGACAAUAGGAUUAGUUGUUUUCAUUAAAGUGAAAAUUACAUCUAUUUUUUUGGUUUUAUCAUGAAAAAUUCAUUAAAUAUUUUUAACUAACAAUAAAUUUAUGUCUAUCAAAUGCUUAAGAUUGUUCAAAAAAUUCGUGUACACCUAAGUCAAAUUAGAGUAGAGAGAUUAAAUCUCAACUUUUAACAUUAUAGAGGGACCAAAACCAUAAUUAGACCUUCUCUUUGAAUUUGCAUAUAUUUAGGGACCUAAUUGUGUUUUUGCUUUGUUGCAUUUGGUUUACAGCCAGUCCCAUUAUAUGUCUCUGAAAUGGCACUUCCCAGACAUGGAGGAGCAAUGAACAUUGGCUUCCAAUGAGGUGUUUGUCUCGAUGUUCUUUCGGCUAACAUUAUAAACUUCGGCACCUAAAAGAUCAAAGGUGGAUGGAGUUGGCGAAUCUCCCUCACACUUGCCGCAUUACCGGCCUCAAUCCUAACAAUUGGAACAAUCUUCCUCCUCGAAACACCCAACAACUUAAUCCAAAACAACAAUAAUCCUGAGAAGGCCAAAAUCGUGUUGCAAUGUAUACGUGACACCAUCAAUGCCCAAGAAGAACUAGAUGAUCUCAUCAAAGCAAGCUCGAUUUCGUAAAUCAUCAACCACACAUUUCAGAAAAUUAUAGAUAGAAAAUAUAGGUCUCAAUUGGCAAUGGCAAUAGCUAUACCAUUUUCCAACAAGUAAUAUUAGGCAUAAAUGUCAUCACAUUUUAUACACCAAUUUUAUUUAGGAUCAUCUGGCCAAGGUGAAAGUGCUUCACUCAUGCCCGCAGCUGUGGCUGGCCUUGUUGGUACCAUCGCAACAUUCAUAUAAGCAAUCGUGGUCGAAAAACUCGGUCGAAAGGCCUUGUUUAUAAUAGGAGGAAUUCAAAUGUUUGCGACACAAAUAACAAUUGGAGUAAUUAUGAUUAUUUUGUUAGGGAUCAUGGCGGAUUAAGCAAAGGGUAUGCUUAUUUAGUUUUCGCUUUAAUUUGUGUACUUUUAAGAUGGUUAGUUCCUAGUAAAAAUUUCCCACUUGAGAUUAUAUAAGCAGGACAAAGCAUUGCAGUGGCAAUUGGAUUUCUCUUUACAUUCAUCAUUGCACAAGCUUUUCUAGCUAUGCUUUGCCGUUUUGAGUCCAAGAUUCUUCUUUUUCGGAGGAUGGGUUGUGGGCGUGGCAAUGACCGCAUUCGUGUACUUUUUGUUUCCGGAGACAACAAAUGUGUUGAUUGAACAAAUGGAAGAAGAAUGGAGGGAUCAUUGGUUUUGGAAAAUAAUUGUUGGAGAGGCGGAUGAUGAGAAGAAGGCUUACACACAACAAGGGACAUAAUGCAAAAAAAAAAAAAAAGCAAAAAAAAAAGAGGAAGUUUGCAUGACUUUAUAUACAAUGCAUGAUGGAAUUCGAUAAAAGAGUUGAAAAAAACUAUGUGAAGAGCUUUUUCUUAAAAAAAAUAUAGCAUACAAAAUAAAUGUUUUUCUUAAUGCUAUUAUUUUCUUUUGGUCUAAUUUUGUUUUUAGUCCCCCUCAUAAAAUGACAUAAUUGGAUUCCUUUUAGUAGCCUAAAAGAUGAGAUCCCUUCUCAAAAAAAUUAAAAUAAUUUAAUCCUUGUUAAUUUUGAAAGUGAGCAAAAAAUGACAAUUAAUCAAGACAUUAAUAUUUUGAUUGGUAUAAUAAUAAAUUUAGCCCUCAAAGUUUACAUUUUUUGCCAAUUUGGUCCUAAUUUAACAAAUUUGUUCCAUAACAUUUGUGUAAUUGUGUAAACAUUUAGGUUGAAUUUGUUGAAUUUAUAAGAAUUAAGGUCAUAUUGAAAAAAUAUGUAAAUAUUGAAGUCUAAAUUUAUUACCAUACCAACCAAAAUUAUUUACAAUCGACGAAAGACAUUAACGUAAUGCUUAAUUGUCCUAAUUGCUCACUUUUGAAAUUAACAAAGAAUAAAUUGUAUAAUUUUUUCGAGAAAGACCAAUUUACUCAAAUUUGAAGUUGAGAAGAAUUGGAGAGUUUCAUUACUGUAAUUUUAUUACUAGUUGACAACAGUUCACUGUGUAGUUCAUAUUGUGCGAUGGAAUAACAAUAAAAAAAAUCAUACCAUCAUUUUAGCGAUAACAACUAAUGGUAUUUUCAAUUUGGAUCUACUAAUAAUAUUUUAAAAAUAAAAAUAAAUAAAUUUAUGUCAAGUUAGAAUAAUUAAACUUCAAAUUUCUAUGUCGACCAAACCCGUGAUACAGUGAAGUCCUAACGUCACAAUUAAUCCUUUUCAUUUUCAACUAUAGUUUGUAGUGAAGUAACACUAAAUUUCUUAAAACUAAUGUGUAAAAUGAAAAACCUUGGGGAAGUGGUCCAUAAUUUCAUUAAAUUUGUCACUAUAUAAGCCACAAAUUAACAAGGGAAAAUGAGGGCAAAAAUGCACUAUUCUACUUGAUGUGCAUCUUAAUCUUAAGCAUCAAAAUAAUUCAAUGUUAGUCCAUGUCAUUUGAUCAUCUUUAUCAUAGUAUAUAUACUCCAUCAUAUCUUUAUUGUUUUAUUUUAAAACAUUAAAACUUCAAAUCUUAUUUUUAUGGAAAUUCUAAAAUCUGAAUCCAAACCAUUUAUACUUCAGAUAUAGGUUAAUUUCUAAAUAAGAAAAUUAUAAUGAAAUUAUAAAAACGACUAAAAAAUCAAGUUUAACUAUACUAACAAAAAAUUCUGUGGUAAAAGUAUUUUGAAGGCUCAUAUAUUAGGAGGUAGAUUGCAGUUUACCUUAAUUACUUGAAAAUGGAUAAAUUAAUCCAUAUAUAUUAGGUCAAAAAAAUAAAUUAGUCAUUGUAUUAAAAAUUUUGCCCAUUCUAUUGCUAAGCGAUGAACGUGUUAUUGUCUAAUUGCUUGAAUUAAUUCCACCAUGUAAAAAGUUGCAUCCACUCUGUCAAAAAUUUCAUCCAUUUUUUCUAUUAAAAAUUUCUUCUAUUUUGCUUGAAUUAGUUCCUCCACAUCAGCAUGAGAAACACAUGAUGCCCCACAUGCCAUUUUUUAAUUGUUUCAUCAACCAUGUCAACACCUAACAGUAGAAAUAAAUUUUAUAACAGAAAAUAAUUUACUCUUUAAUUUAACAGGGAUUAAUUUACCUUUUUUUCAGUAAAAAGAUCAAAAUGCAAUCCAUGAACUAGCAUAAAACCUUCAUGGUAACAACCACCUAUCUCCACCGAGACAAAGCCUACUACCCUUCCGACCAGUGAACAGGCCUUACUUCUGGAUUUGUGAACAUAGUAAGCAACCCAGUGUCCUUAGCAUUCAAGUCCAAUAAAUUAAUUUCCAUUGAGGUGCACAAAAUUUUGGAUAUUAUUUUUGUACCACUGAUUUUCUUUUAAUCCUAUUUUAACUUCAUCAUUGCAUAAAUCAUUGUGUAUAUAUAUGCAUGCUUAACUAAUAGCAAUAAUUUAUUCAAUUCUGGCUUCAAGCCUUCAACAUGCACUUCCAUAUAUAUAUAGAUCAAGUUCUUACAUAAUCCCACACGUUAUAGUUUUUUUUAUUUUUAUUUUUCUCAUGCAAUUGGUGUUCAAAGUCAACCGAGAUGCUUUCAUGGAAUCAGCACGACUGAUCCAGUUGUUCGGCGAUUCUCGAGAUCUGCAUGUGCCUGCGCUGCUUCUGACAAGGGGUACUUGUGAUUCACCCGAACCCGCAAUACGCCUGAUGCAACAUUAGCAAACACUUCCCCUGCAGUUUCCAGCAGCUCAUCCCGAGUUGACGUGUAUUGCAUCAUGGAAGGCCUAGUCAAGAACAAUGAUUUGGGUGCAAGUGCAGACAACGGAACCGGAUCUGGUGUACCGGAUGACUGCCCAAAGUUCACCAUAUAGCCACGGGGCUUUAAACAUGCCAACGAGCCCUAACAAAAUAUAAAACUUUUAGUAGAAUGCUACAAAGUUCAGUGAAGUUAUAUAAUUUUUCACCGUGGAUAUUGUAAACCUUUAAUGGCUUAACAUAAGAAUAGAUUCAACCUAAAAGUAAGAACGAGCAAAGUAGACAAUAAAGCAUCAGUAUCAGAACCGUGAUUACCUCAAAGGUAUCUUUCCCUACAGAAUCGUAGACAACUUCCACCCCCUUGCCACAUGUUAUCUCAUUGACACGGGAAACAAAAUCCUCUUCCUUAUAAAUUAUAGCAUGGUGACAUCCGUCUUCCUUUGCUUGAGCCGCCUUCUCUUUGGUCGAGACAGUUCCAAUGACAGUGGCACCAAGUGCAUUUGCCCAUUGGCAUAAUAAAGAUCCAACCCCACCAGCUGCAGCAUGAACAAGAACUGUGUGUCCGGAUUCGACCUAUAUUACAUGAUAUUGUGUUAAAACUUUUUGUUAAUACAAUUAUGACUCUUUUUCAACAUUUAAAUAAGAUUAAUUGACAGGAGUAAAUGUCAGGAUAAAGAGAAAAUAACCAAGCACCAAACCUAUAGUAUGAUUAAAGUUAUGAACAACUUGUAUCCAUGCAAUCUACCUUGAAGCAACGACGUACUAGAAACUGGGCAGUCAUACCCUUCAGCAUGAUGGAUGCAGCAGUAAUAGGGUCAACCGAAGGAGGAACUGGCACAACUUUGUCAGCUGGAAGAAUCUGCUCCUCGGCAUAUGAACCCAUAGGAUUACCAGCAUAAGCUACAAUAUCUCCAACUUUCCUGCCAGUCAGUCCAGGUCCCACGGCAGUCACCUCUCCAACAGCUUCCAUACCUGUAAUUAAAGAAUGGAAACAAAUGAUUUCUGUGAUAAUCAUUACUGGAGAAAACUCAUGCUAACAUAGUGAACACAUCCUUUUCCCAAUCCAUGGGGUUGGCUACUACAUGAUGAGAUGGAAGAGAAAGAAAAUCUAGAAAAUAAAUUCAGUGUUCCAUUUACUUCAGGACAUGCAAGGAAACAGAGUACUUACUGAAAAAGACCUUGAGAGAAUUACUUCAUUCAGAUUCUAAUGCAAGUUUAAUAUAGACUGCAUCGGACAUCUAAAGUUCCAUUGGUUAAAAUAGUCACAACACCUUCCUGAUCCGUAAAAGAGUCCAGGUUUAAAGAUUGAAUAUAUUUGAUUGUGCUGAUCAUUAUCUUAAAGACCUAAAAUACGGUUAGUAUGGUUAAGUAAGCCAAGUAAAUUAAAAUAUGAAAUGGAAAUAAGUAUCAACAAUCAACCAUAAAGAGUAAUUUAUAAACUUUUAUGCUACUCUUUUCAUCUCUUGCUAAAUGUUAACUCAACUAUUUUUUCCGGAACUUCGGUGCAAUCACAUUAAUUUGUUCAAAGAAAGUACCACUAAAAUUCAAGUGACAAGAGUCCAAGGCCUAGCAUUUAGACAAUACUCAAUGAGAAGGGACUAGAAAGACUUGCUGUAUAUCAACUAAUCUGCAAAACAUGUAUCAUAUCAGCCUGGAAUGUUCCGCAUUUCUCAUAAUGUAAAAAUUUGUUCUACUUUUAAACUUUCAAACAAAUCGAACCAACCUGGACUGAAGGGCAUGGUAGUAGCCUUAUAAACUCCUUUCCGAAAAUAGAUAUCGAUGAAAUUCACUCCAAUAGCUAUAUUUUUAAUACGUAUCUCACCCUCUUUGGGUUCCCCAAGUUCCACAUCCUCCCAUUUAAGGACCUAUAUAGCCAAUGCAAAGAAAUCAAUUCAAGCAAACCAUAGCCGUAAACAUUCCAAUCUAAGCUCCGUUUUAAAAUUCGCAGGAUGUAAACGACAUUCAUAACAAGAGUAUGAUCCUUCUUUAUCAAAAAAUUAACUUUCUAAAAAACCCAGAAUUAAUUCAAUCAAAAUUAAAUAAAAAAAGGCCAAAACAACAAAACCCAGAAUAAUUGUAUCAAAGUUGAAUAAAAAAGAAGGGCAAAACUGCAAGCAGCAAAGCAUGAAAACAACAAGAACACAUAUUUUUAAUUUCCCAAAAGAACUAUUCAAUCAAACUCAUAAAAAUUGUAAUAGCAAAGUGAUGAAGCAUUGGAAAGGGUAAGAAAAGACCUGAGAUCCACCAAAUUGAUGAACCCUGAUAGCUUUCACCAUUUUUAUGGGCUGUACUGUGGCAGAUGCUUCAGUACGCAGUGCCUUGGCUAUUACAGGAUUAAUCCUGGGAGUAUAAUAAGAUAACGAUGAGUGGUUGGUGGUGUUAUUGUUGGUCAGAUUUUGCACCCAAAAGGUAGAUGGGGAGACAUUGGAAGACUGUGGUGGAAUAAAGCGAAGCAAAUGGAAGCGUUGAUUGUAGAACCCAAGUUUUAAGAGGCUCAUUCAGUUUACGUUUCCGGAUUUGACUUGUUUAGCUUACAUAAUCUUAAAUAUCUAUCGUC